GUGGCGAGCGGCGGACGGGUGAGUAAUGCCUAGGAAUCUGCCUGGUAGUGGGGGAUAACGCUCGGAAACGGACGCUAAUACCGCAUACGUCCUACGGGAGAAAGCAGGGGACCUUCGGGCCUUGCGCUAUCAGAUGAGCCUAGGUCGGAUUAGCUAGUUGGUGAGGUAAUGGCUCACCAAGGCGACGAUCCGUAACUGGUCUGAGAGGAUGAUCAGUCACACUGGAACUGAGACACGGUCCAGACUCCUACGGGAGGCAGCAGUGGGGAAUAUUGGACAAUGGGCGAAAGCCUGAUCCAGCCAUGCCGCGUGUGUGAAGAAGGUCUUCGGAUUGUAAAGCACUUUAAGUUGGGAGGAAGGGCAGUUACCUAAUACGUGAUUGUUUUGACGUUACCGACAGAAUAAGCACCGGCUAACUCUGUGCCAGCAGCCGCGGUAAUACAGAGGGUGCAAGCGUUAAUCGGAAUUACUGGGCGUAAAGCGCGCGUAGGUGGUUUGUUAAGUUGAAUGUGAAAUCCCCGGGCUCAACCUGGGAACUGCAUCCAAAACUGGCAAGCUAGAGUAUGGUAGAGGGUGGUGGAAUUUCCUG
RNAcentral lists this ribosomal RNA (589 nucleotides) under Pseudomonas sp. EECC-240. RNAcentral's name for it is "bacterial SSU rRNA". It matches the Rfam family "Bacterial small subunit ribosomal RNA", at positions 88 to 673 of the family's 1533-position model. The record is from RNAcentral. Lineage: Bacteria; Pseudomonadati; Pseudomonadota; Gammaproteobacteria; Pseudomonadales; Pseudomonadaceae.